UACGUAGGAGGCAAGCGUUGUCCGGAAUCACUGGGCGUAAAGCGCGUGUAGGCGGUGGGGGCAGUCUGUUGUGAAAGCGCUCGGCUUAACCGGGCGAGGUCGACGGAUACUCCCGCACUGGAGGCCGGUAGAGGGGGGUGGAAUUCCCGGUGUAGUGGUGAAAUGCGUAGAGAUCGGGAGGAACACCAGUGGCGAAGGCGGCCCCCUGGGCCGGGCCUGACGCUGAGACGCGAAGGCGUGGGGAG
RNAcentral lists this ribosomal RNA (245 nucleotides) under uncultured bacterium. RNAcentral's name for it is "partial 16S ribosomal RNA". It matches the Rfam family "Bacterial small subunit ribosomal RNA", at positions 524 to 768 of the family's 1533-position model. The record is from RNAcentral.